GCAGUGUACCCGCGGCAAGACGGAAAGACCCCGUGAACCUUUACUAUAGCUUGACACUGAACAUUGAGCCUUGAUGUGUAGGAUAGGUGGGAGGCUUUGAAGCGUGGACGCCAGUCUGCGUGGAGCCGACCUUGAAAUACCACCCUUUAAUGUUUGAUGUUCUAACGUGGAUCCGUAAUCCGGGUUGCGGACAGUGUCUGGUGGGUAGUUUGACUGGGGCGGUCUCCUCCUAAAGAGUAACGGAGGAGCACGAAGGUUGGCUAAUCCUGGUCGGACAUCAGGAGGUUAGUGCAAUGGCAUAAGCCAGCUUGACUGCGAGCGUGACGGCGCGAGCAGGUGCGAAAGCAGGUCAUAGUGAUCCGGUGGUUCUGAAUGGAAGGGCCAUCGCUCAACGGAUAAAAGGUACUCCGGGGAUAACAGGCUGAUACCGCCCAAGAGUUCAUAUCGACGGCGGUGUUUGGCACCUCGAUGUCGGCUCAUCACAUCCUGGGGCUGAAGUAGGUCCCAAGGGUAUGGCUGUUCGCCAUUUAAAGUGGUACGCGAGCUGGGUUUAGAACGUCGUGAGACAGUUCGGUCCCUAUCUGCCGUGGGCGCUGGAGAACUGAGGGGGGCUGCUCCUAGUACGAGAGGACCGGAGUGGACGCAUCACUGGUGUUCGGGUUGUCAUGCCAAUGGCACUGCCCGGUAGCUAAAUGCGGAAGAGAUAAGUGCUGAAAGCAUCUAAGCACGAAACUUGCCCCGAGAUGAGUUCUCCCUGAGACUUAGAGUCUCCUGAAGGAACGUUGAAGACGACGACGUUGAUAGGCCGGGUGUGUAAGCGCAGCGAUGCGUUGAGCUAACCGGUACUAAUGAACCGUGAGGCUUAACCUUACAAUGCCGAAG
RNAcentral lists this ribosomal RNA (882 nucleotides) under Salmonella enterica subsp. enterica serovar Infantis. RNAcentral describes it as "partial 23S ribosomal RNA". It matches the Rfam family "Bacterial large subunit ribosomal RNA", at positions 2061 to 2925 of the family's 2925-position model. The record is from RNAcentral. Lineage: Bacteria; Pseudomonadati; Pseudomonadota; Gammaproteobacteria; Enterobacterales; Enterobacteriaceae.